RNAcentral lists this ribosomal RNA (253 nucleotides) under uncultured bacterium. RNAcentral describes it as "partial 16S ribosomal RNA". It matches the Rfam family "Bacterial small subunit ribosomal RNA", at positions 524 to 776 of the family's 1533-position model. The record is from RNAcentral.
UACGUAGGGGGCUAGCGUUGUCCGGAAUCAUUGGGCGUAAAGAGCGCGUAGGCGGCUGGAUAAGUCCGGUGUAAAAGUCAAAGGCUCAACCUUUGAAUGCCGCUGGAAACUAUCUGGCUAGAGUCCGGAAGGGGCGAGUGGAAUUCCUGGUGUAGCGGUGAAAUGCGCAGAUAUCAGGAGGAACACCAAUUGCGAAGGCAGCUCGCUGGGACGUUACUGACGCUGAGACGCGAAAGCGUGGGGAGCAAACAGG